Molecule: ribosomal RNA, 440 nt
Filed under: uncultured bacterium
Lineage: Bacteria
Description: partial 16S ribosomal RNA
Rfam family: Bacterial small subunit ribosomal RNA
Source: RNAcentral
CCUACGGGAGGCAGCAGUAGGGAAUAUUGCUCAAUGGGGGAAACCCUGAAGCAGCAACGCCGCGUGGAGGAUGAAGGUUUUCGGAUUGUAAACUCCUUUUGUUAGAGAAGAUAAUGACGGUAUCUAACGAAUAAGCACCGGCUAACUCCGUGCCAGCAGCCGCGGUAAUACGGAGGGUGCAAGCGUUACUCGGAAUUACUGGGCGUAAAGAGCGCGUAGGCGGGUUAGCAAGUCAGAUGUGAAAGCCUAUGGCUUAACCAUAGAACUGCAUUUGAAACUGUUAGUCUAGAGUAUGGGAGAGGUAGGUGGAAUUCGUGGUGUAGGGGUAAAAUCCUUAGAGAUCAAGAGGAAUACUCAUUGCGAAGGCGACCUACUAGAACAUAACUGACACUGAUGCGCGAAAGCGUGGGGAGCAAACAGGAUUAGAUACCCUUGUAGUC